UACAGAGGGGCAAGAGUUGUUCGGAAUUACUGGGCGUAAAGGGCGCGUAGGCGGCCUUCUAAGUCGAACGUGAAAUCCCCGGGCUCAACCCGGGAACUGCGUCCGAUACUGGAAGGCUUGAAUCCGGGAGAGGGAUGUGGAAUUCCAGGUGUAGCGGUGAAAUGCGUAGAUAUCUGGAGGAACACCGGUGGCGAAGGACGACAUCCUGGACCGGUAUUGACGCUGACGGCGCGAAAGCCAGGGGAGCAAGCGGG
Molecule: ribosomal RNA, 254 nt
Filed under: uncultured bacterium
Lineage: Bacteria
Description: partial 16S ribosomal RNA
Rfam family: Bacterial small subunit ribosomal RNA
Source: RNAcentral